UAGGGAAUCUUCGGCAAUGGACGAAAGUCUGACCGAGCAACGCCGCGUGAGUGAAGAAGGUCUUCGGAUCGUAAAACUCUGUUGUUAGAGAAGAACAAGGACGUUAGUAACUGAACGUCCCCUGACGGUAUCUAACCAGAAAGCCACGGCUAACUACGUGCCAGCAGCCGCGGUAAUACGUAGGUGGCAAGCGUUGUCCGGAUUUAUUGGGCGUAAAGCGAGCGCAGGCGGUUUCUUAAGUCUGAUGUGAAAGCCCCCGGCUCAACCGGGGAGGGUCAUUGGAAACUGGGAGGCUUGAGUGCAGAAGAGGAGCGGGGAAUUCCAUGUGGAGCGGUGAAAUGCGUAGAUAUAUGGAGGAACACCAGUGGCGAAGGCGGCUCUCUGGUCUGUAACUGACGCUGAGGCUCGAAAGCGUGGGGGGCAAACAGG
This 429-nucleotide ribosomal RNA is filed under the name Gemmatimonadota bacterium. Its description in RNAcentral is "Gemmatimonadetes bacterium partial 16S ribosomal RNA". It matches the Rfam family "Bacterial small subunit ribosomal RNA", at positions 355 to 776 of the family's 1533-position model. Lineage: Bacteria; Pseudomonadati; Gemmatimonadota. The record is from RNAcentral.